GCAUGACAUAACAAUUCGCAUGCGAUGUUUUAUGUGUUGGUCGCAUACUCAGUUCGUAAACCUUAACGCAGUCUCAUGAGAGAAUAACAUGUUUGGCAGCACUCAGGGGGGGCUUCCGCAAACGAAAUCGCAUCAGGCGCAGCCCUACACCGCACAACGAUUCAUCAUACCAUCAACUAGAUGCCAGAAAGGUGGCGGGACAUGCCGCAUGCGAACGCGCACGCAAUUAGACCCCCGCCGUGAGAUGCGUCGGCGGCUGUGAGGCAGGUGGGGACAUGCCUGUGAGGCUGAAAGGGCUUCCGGACGCAUAAAUCGCACCAGGCGCCAUCGUACGCCGGACCAACGAUGCAUCAUAACAUUAACUAGUUGUUAGAAAGGGGGCAGGAAUAGGAGCAUCCAUACGCGCACGCAAUUAGAACCCCGACGUGAGAUGCGUCGGUGGCUGUGAGGCAGGUGGGACAUGCCUGUGAGGCUGAAAGGGCUUCCGGACGCAUAAAUCGCACCAGGCGCCGUCGUACGCCGGACAAACGUUGCAUCAUAACAUUAACUAGUUGUUAGAAAGGGGGCAGGAAUAGGAGCAUCCAUACGCGCACGCAAUUAGAACCCCGCCGUGAGAUGCGUCGGUGGCUGUGAGGCAGGUGGGACAUGCCUGUGAGGCUGAAAGGGCUUCCGGACGCAUAAAUCGCACCAGGCGCCGUCGUACGCCGGACCAACGAUGCAUCAUAACAGUAACUAGAUGUUAGAAAGGCGGCAGAAAUAGGAGCAUCCAUACGGUCACGCAAUUAGAACCCCGCCGUGAGAUGCGUCGGUGGCUGUGAGGCACGUGGGACAUGCCUGUGAGGCUGAAAGGGCUUCCGGACGCAUAAAUCGCACCAGGCGCCGUCGUACGCCGGACCACCGAUGCAUCAUAACAUAACUAGUUGUUAAAAAGGCGGCAUAAAUCGCACCAGGCGCCGUCGUACGCCGGACAAACGUUGCAUCAUAACAUUAACUAGUUGUAAGAAAUGCGGCAGGAAUAGGAGCAUCCAUACGCGCACGCAAUUAGAACCCCGCCGUGAGAUGCGUCGGUGGCUGUGAGGCAGGUGGGACAUGCCUGGGAGGCUGAAAGGGCUUCCGGACGCAUAAAUCGCACCAGGCGCCGUCGUACGCCGGACAAACGUUGCAUCAUAACAUUAACUAGUUGUAAGAAAGGCGGCAGGAAUAGGAGCAUCCAUACGGUCACGCAAUUACACCCCCGCCGUGAGAUGCGUCGGCGGCUGUGAGGCAGGUGGGACAUGCCUGUGAGGCUGAAAGGGCUUCCGGACGCAUAAAUCGCACCAGGCGCCGUCGUACGCCGGACCAACGAUGCAUCAUAACAGUAACUAG
RNAcentral lists this long non-coding RNA (1365 nucleotides) under Volvox carteri. RNAcentral describes it as "long non-coding RNA (VCAR_LNC003928)". The record is from RNAcentral. Lineage: Eukaryota; Viridiplantae; Chlorophyta; Chlorophyceae; Chlamydomonadales; Volvocaceae.